This 429-nucleotide ribosomal RNA is filed under the name Bacteroidota bacterium. RNAcentral describes it as "Bacteroidetes bacterium partial 16S ribosomal RNA". It matches the Rfam family "Bacterial small subunit ribosomal RNA", at positions 355 to 776 of the family's 1533-position model. The record is from RNAcentral. Lineage: Bacteria; Pseudomonadati; Bacteroidota.
UAGGGAAUCUUCCGCAAUGGGCGAAAGCCUGACGGAGCAACGCCGCGUGAGUGAUGAAGGUCUUCGGAUCGUAAAACUCUGUUAUUAGGGAAGAACAAAUGUGUAAGUAACUAUGCACGUCUUGACGGUACCUAAUCAGAAAGCCACGGCUAACUACGUGCCAGCAGCCGCGGUAAUACGUAGGUGGCAAGCGUUAUCCGGAAUUAUUGGGCGUAAAGCGCGCGUAGGCGGUUUUUUAAGUCUGAUGUGAAAGCCCACGGCUCAACCGUGGAGGGUCAUUGGAAACUGGAAAACUUGAGUGCAGAAGAGGAAAGUGGAAUUCCAUGUGUAGCGGUGACAUGCGCAGAGAUAUGGAGGAACACCAGUGGCGAAGGCGACUUUCUGGUCUGUAACUGACGCUGAUGUGCGAAAGCGUGGGAAUCAAACAGG